Gasterosteus aculeatus aculeatus (three-spined stickleback) is the source of this 1621-nucleotide long non-coding RNA. The record is from Ensembl. Lineage: Eukaryota; Metazoa; Chordata; Actinopteri; Perciformes; Gasterosteidae.
CUUCACUUGGGAUCAGACUCACCUCCGCUCGAGCAGCGGACGCUCCGAGGUGGCGGCGAACACGGAGGGAGUCCUGCUCACUGCGGCUCGUCGGGAUCACCGGGAGGACGCCGCCGUUCCCUUCAUGUGACAUUUAAAUCGCCGGCACAAAGUCAGGGGUGAGACGGAAACCACAGAAGAAGAAAGCCGGGACCUAUUUUUAGCAGCAGCCGCUCUGCUCGGGCCAAAUAUGAGAAUAGAGGCUCCUGGCGAGCAGCGCGGCAGCAAGUGCUCGUCAUGCGGCGAGGGGGCGGAGCCAUCCCUGUUUCAUUGAACUUUGAUGAAAAGGGCUCUUGCACUGCACUCUGAUUCUCAAGGUUUCUGAGUUAAUGGAUCGUAAAUCCUCACAAAGAAACUAGUGGAGCUUUUAUUCCUUCAACGGAGAGCUACAUGGACGACAUUUGUUUUAUCCAUGUCUUGGAGAAUAGACAUCAAGAGGAUUGAUGCUAAAACCUGUUGACGUUUAAUGACCUUCAAAUAACAUUCUGACCCAAGCUUUUAGUUUUAAUGCCUUUUAGCACGUGUUGGCUCUGGAUUGAGUGAAGAACAGAGGUCUCUUUGCCUCUUCUUUCCUUUAAACAAACCAACUUCUCUCCUUCCUCUAUAAACAUUUGAAAACCGUUUUCUUUCUUAAUCGCGUGACUCCUGCGUUGUUCAGAUUCACUCUUGUUCUCCUUUGCCUCCUUGUGCUUUAACGCGUAACCACGGCAACGGGAGAAAGUAACGUAACUAAAGUGGACGCUGAACUGAACCUCCUCGGGUCUGAACUAAACCAAAAGCUGUCUUCAUGUGGCCGAGCAGCCUGGCGAAGAUCAGAAGAGGAGACACAGAACCAAGACACAGAACGCCGGGACAGUUUCCUUGGCUCUUUACGCCACACAAUCCUUCCCCGUCCUUAUCGGUCCUCAUCAGCCCCCUCGGCCCGUCCAUCCGUCCACCUCAAUGACAAUCAAAGGUCAGACGUUUACUCCCUUUGGUUUAUCUUCCCCCAGCUGCCUCUAUUUGUCCUCAUGAAGGAGCUGAUGUGGCUCUGAGACGCUGCGCUCUGGUACAGUGGGGACCGGUUUUAGCUUGAGAGUGAGACUUUUUUUUUCUGGUCUGCACGUCUUGUUUAAACUCUUUCUGUGUUGAUGUAGGGAGAAAGACAUAAUUAUGGGACGUCUGUCUCUUCCUCAGGCCUCUGGGGCUCAGCGGAGAGCCACAAAGUCGUCUUCUGACCACUUGAAGUGCUUCAAAAUCAUGACGUCAUUCACCCAUUCAUCAGGACUAACACUAUCACAACUUCCCGAGGCCACGAAGGACACGUGGGUCAGAUGAGCCGGGGAUCGAACCACCGGCUCUAGUCACAAUUUAGCGCUGAUUUUCCACUAGACUCGUUACUUUAUGGUCUGUUUGACUCUAAAUGAACACAAAUUCACCAAAACAACAUCAUGAUGUGUUGAAAAGACUUGAAACUAGAGACUGAGACCAUAAACUCAUGUUUACAAUGUUUACUGAGGGAAUAAAUCAAGAGAGAAGUAGAGUCAUUGUCUCAUAGACGUCUAUGGGAGCAGAGGAGUCGCCCCCUGCUGGUCACUACAGA